This is a long non-coding RNA of Sitodiplosis mosellana (orange wheat blossom midge), 2431 nucleotides long. RefSeq lists it as uncharacterized. The record is from RefSeq and is a predicted model, not a curated record. Lineage: Eukaryota; Metazoa; Arthropoda; Insecta; Diptera; Cecidomyiidae. The transcript has 3 exons.
UUGCAACAUUUUUUUCACAUUUAACGACGAUCACAUUCAUUUUACGGUCGAAAUGUGCGAAUUAUGUAGACGGAACCAUCCGGACAGAACCGUUCACACACAAACCGAUGGAUGGAUGGCUGACUAGACAAUUUCAUACUGUUAAAAACGGUCCUAGGUCACCCAUUGUUUUGUUUUCCGGGCCAUAAAAGAUAAAUCCAUUUUUAUUCAUCGUAAAGAGAAACAGAAAGAAAAAAUUGUGUCGGCCAAAUGUAUAAAAAUGCCUUUGUUCAAAAGUGACAUUGAAAUCAGUUGCAUAUAUGAUUUUUUUUUAUGAAGAAAUUCUAUUUUUCGCCAGAAUUUCUGCUUUACAGCACGUUUUUAAAUGCUUGUAUCUCGCCGUAACGAUUUUUUCGUCAUUGUUUUUUUACCUUUGACUUUAAAUUUUCUUCUUUGUUUUUAGACUUUUCGUAAUUUGAUCGCGUGUAGUAUUUGUGGUGGGCAGCAACUUUUGCACGUCUCAUCAAUAAUUACACAAUGAACACACAUCAUGUUGCCACACAGUGACAAUGAAUGGUUGGGGCGUCGACAAAGGCUACUGCGACAGCGAUAUACUGACGGAAAUACGAUAAACACGGGAUACAGACGAAAACGGCGACCCUCUGUUCAUCACACUGUUUCGCAAAUGCAAUGGAAUAAAAUAAUUACCUGUUCGGCGAAUUGGAUGCGGUCGGCCAACAAUUUUUGUCCUGCAUCAACCACUUUUUUGUGCCAACAAAAUGCUUGCACACUGUUGGUGCAUUCGCCACAUAAUAGUUUUGUGAAUUUGUCUGUGCUUUUAAUCUGAAACAUAGACCAAACAAACAACAACAAAAUCAAUGAAUUUUUCCACAAAUAAACAUGCAUACAAUGAAUGAACGACAGAUAAUCAUUUUAAAAACGAUACAACUGAAAAUUCAACACCAACAAUUGUAGCAAUCCAUCCAUUCAUCAACACAAACUGUUGAUUCAAAUCAAAAUGCUAUAACGCAAUCAUUUCGGUUGUCAUGCAACCAACGAUGAUGACAGAAGAAAAAUAUAAGCUACAUUGACUUGAACAAACACUAAGUUUAUGGCUUACCUCAACAUUGUAAAAAUCCUUUAUUGCUUCGAGCAGAAUGGGAGCGGUGGUGAUAUCGUUUUCGCCCGUUUUUUUAAAACACAAACGACACGAUGUGCUCAAGUCCGGAAAAAUCAUCAUGCAAAAUUUCGGACGAUAGCCUCUUUACUAAAACAAAAAAAAAAAUCAGAAAUAUCGACAACAACAAAUUUCGUUGGAACACACGAUUCAUUGACAAUCAAACUCAAAAUGGAAAAUGCAAUUGGAUUAUUCGUGUUAUACGUACCCCCAGCAACGGAUGUUUGAAUCCGUGAAUUGAAUACCGUGGAAGCAACAAUUGAGAAAGAGUUUGAUGGUUAAUUUAUGCUGAAUUACACGCUGGAUGCAUUUAAAAGAUGUACGAAAAACCGUUCGAUUUUCGUGGUCAUUUAAAAAAAUGGCUACUAAUUGUCAAACACACAAACGUUCUUGUUGUUUGUUGGUCGUUUAUUUUCUCUUAUUCUUCUUUUUCUGUGUCUGUCUCUGUUCUUAUAUUCUGAUUCAAUGCGAUCAGUGUCUCGCUGCUUCGUAUUACGAUGCACUUCUCCACUACACACUCUCUUAGCAACACUUUGGUAUAUAUGCUUUUGUGUGUUUUGUUAUGCUUUGAAUUUUGACAGAAGUGUACGCAUUAUUAUUCUGUUCGCGCCUUUACCAAAAAUCACACCCUAUUGACACGCCAUCUUUUGGAUUUUCAACGCAAUCAUCUCACUGAUCUCACUGCGUAACAAACAGCAUUCCAUCGAACUUAACUAUUUUUGGAAUUUAUUCACAUUACCAACAGAUAUAUUUUUAUUGCAGACCAAUCUCACUCGCGUUCAGGUUACACCCUCUGUCUCUUCAAUAAAUAAACGCAUGCUGCUACGGCGAGCGAUGAUAAUUUAAAUAUUGAUUGAUAUUGGAUUGAUUACGUGAAAUAGAUGAUUUCGUUUCUAUUGCGUAUCAUUUUAUUGUGAUGAUGAAAUAAAACCGGCCUUGAACGACGCACCGGAAUUUUGAACGCAUGAACGUUGAACAAAAUUAUUCUUGGUUUUCUUUGAAUGAAAAGAGGUAGAGCUACAGAAAUCUGAAGAGAUCGAAAAUAAUCCGAACUUGAGAUAAAUACAUUGUUAAAAACAUAUUUUUUGAACGAAAAAAAAUGAGUUCAACGAUAAAUUUUGACGAUAAUGUUUUUUUUUUAUAAUAAACUGUGAAAACGGAUUUUCGACAGUAGAAUAAAUAUAUGAAUGAGUAAAGAAAUGGAAUUUUAUUUUAUCGUAUUAGGGCUUCAUUUGACUUGCAGUAUCUAAUAAAAUGUUGAUAAGCUAUCCGAAA